RNAcentral lists this unclassified non-coding RNA (251 nucleotides) under plant metagenome. RNAcentral's name for it is "partial contains small subunit ribosomal RNA, internal transcribed spacer 1, and 5.8S ribosomal RNA". The stretch from base 1 to 54 matches the Rfam family "Eukaryotic small subunit ribosomal RNA", at positions 1778 to 1831 of the family's 1831-position model. The record is from RNAcentral.
GGAAGUAAAAGUCGUAACAAGAUCUCCGUAGGCGAACCUGCGGAGGGAUCAUUACAGAGUUCAUGCCCUACCGGGUAGAUCUCCCACCCUAUGUUAUUAUUACUUUGUUGCUUUGGCGGGCCGUUAGGCUCCGGCCCGACUACCGGCCCCGGCUGGUAAGCGCCCGCCAGAGGACCCAAAACCCUGAAUAUUAGUGUCGUCUGAGUACUAUAUAAUAGUUAAAACUUUCAACAACGGAUCUCUUGGUUCUG